Molecule: unclassified non-coding RNA, 398 nt
Filed under: Hevea brasiliensis (rubber tree)
Lineage: Eukaryota; Viridiplantae; Streptophyta; Magnoliopsida; Malpighiales; Euphorbiaceae
Source: RNAcentral
AUUUUUUUUAUUUAUAAUUGAUGGUGAACUAUCUUAAUUUUGAUCAACUUGCAUAAAAUUAGAGUUUUUAUAUUCAUGUGAAAUGGUGAUAGAAGUAAUUAAUAGGUGAAAAAGAAAGCAUAUAGUACUAUUUAGUCAACAAAUCUAGUGAUAACUAUUUGUUUUAACAACUGAGUCAGAGGGAUUAAUGUCAUGUGAUACAGACAAGGAACAUUACUGCACUGCUUAGAUUUCUUAAAGUUGUGUUUCCAACAGAAGAUCAAUUGUGAUGAAGAGUAAAAAUGUCCCAUGGUACUCUUCUAAGUUUGCAUAACAGAGAAGCUAAAGACAAAAAUGAGGGACAGAUUGAAUAUAGAAAUAAUGGAUUAUUAAUUUGUUUGAAAAGAAAAAAAAAAACA